AUGGUGAGGGAAGUCCCGCGGCGGUAACAGCCAGAAGCCGCCUAGCUUGGGUAGCAGUAUGGAGAGUAAUCGAGAAGUUGAAGCCU
Non-coding RNA from Deltaproteobacteria bacterium, 86 nucleotides. The record is from Rfam. Lineage: Bacteria; Pseudomonadati; Myxococcota; Myxococcia.